This 83-nucleotide transfer RNA is filed under the name Chlorella variabilis. Its description in RNAcentral is "tRNA-Leu". It matches the Rfam family "tRNA". From Rfam's summary of the family: Transfer RNA (tRNA) molecules are approximately 80 nucleotides in length. Their secondary structure includes four short double-helical elements and three loops (D, anti-codon, and T loops). Lineage: Eukaryota; Viridiplantae; Chlorophyta; Trebouxiophyceae; Chlorellales; Chlorellaceae. RNAcentral also lists the same sequence under 1 other name. The record is from RNAcentral.
GCCGUUGUGGUGAAAUUGGUAAACACAGAGCUUUCAAAAAGCUCCGACCUUGCGUCUUAUCGGUUCAAAUCCGAUCAUCGGCA